This 451-nucleotide ribosomal RNA is filed under the name uncultured bacterium. RNAcentral's name for it is "partial 16S ribosomal RNA". It matches the Rfam family "Bacterial small subunit ribosomal RNA", at positions 28 to 507 of the family's 1533-position model. The record is from RNAcentral.
GAUGAAUGCUGGCGGCGUGCCUAACACAUGCAAGUCGAGCGGCAGCGAGGGGUGCUUGCACCCUGUCGGCGAGCGGCGAACGGCUGAGUAACGCGUAGGAAUUUGCCCCAAAGUGAGGAGUAACUGCCCGAAAGGGUAGCUAAUGCCGCAUAUGGUCUUCGGAUUAAAGGAUUUAUCCGCUUUGGGAGAAGCCUGCGUUGGAUUAGGUUGUUGGUAGGGUAAUGGCCUACCAAGCCGACGAUCCAUAGCUGGUCUGAGAGGAUGAUCAGCCAGACUGGAACUGAGACACGGUCCAGACUCCUACGGGAGGCAGCAGUGAGGAAUCUUCCACAAUGGGCGAAAGCCUGAUGGAGCAACGCCGCGUGAAGGAUGAAGGCCUUCGGGUUGUAAACUUCUUUUAUGAGUGAAGAAUAUGACGGUAACUCAUGAAUAAGCACCGGCUAACUACGUG